Molecule: ribosomal RNA, 253 nt
Filed under: uncultured bacterium
Lineage: Bacteria
Description: partial 16S ribosomal RNA
Rfam family: Bacterial small subunit ribosomal RNA
Source: RNAcentral
UACGAAGGGGGCUAGCGUUGCUCGGAAUCACUGGGCGUAAAGGGUGCGUAGGCGGGUCUUUAAGUCAGGGGUGAAAUCCUGGAGCUCAACUCCAGAACUGCCUUUGAUACUGAAGAUCUUGAGUUCGGGAGAGGUGAGUGGAACUGCGAGUGUAGAGGUGAAAUUCGUAGAUAUUCGCAAGAACACCAGUGGCGAAGGCGGCUCACUGGCCCGAUACUGACGCUGAUGCACGAAAGCGUGGGGAGCAAACGGG